AGAGUUUGAUCAUGGCUCAAGAUGAACGCUGGCGGCGUGCUUAACACAUGCAAGUCGAACGGACCUGUACUGAAACCUAGUGAUUUACAGGUUAGUGGCGGACGGGUGAGUAACGCGUGGAAAACCUGCCGUAUACUGGGGGAUAACACUUAGAAAUAGGUGCUAAUACCGCAUAAGCGCACAGGCCCGCAUGGGACAGUGUGAAAAACUCCGGUGGUAUAUGAUGGUUCCGCGUCUGAUUAGCUUGUUGGCGGGGUAACGGCCCACCAAGGCGACGAUCAGUAGCCGGCCUGAGAGGGUGAACGGCCACAUUGGGACUGAGACACGGCCCAGACUCCUACGGGAGGCAGCAGUGGGGAAUAUUGCACAAUGGGGGAAACCCUGAUGCAGCGACGCCGCGUGAGUGAAGAAGUAUCUCGGUACGUAAAGCUCUAUCAGCAGGGAAGAAAAAAAGUCUUUGGCUUUGGACGGUACCUGACUAAGAAGCCCCGGCUAACUACGUGCCAGCAGCCGCGGUAAUACGUAGGGGGCAAGCGUUAUCCGGAUUUACUGGGUGUAAAAGGAGCGUAG
This 570-nucleotide ribosomal RNA is filed under the name uncultured bacterium. RNAcentral's name for it is "bacterial SSU rRNA". It matches the Rfam family "Bacterial small subunit ribosomal RNA", at positions 8 to 574 of the family's 1533-position model. The record is from RNAcentral.